RNAcentral lists this unclassified non-coding RNA (5019 nucleotides) under Lingula anatina. RNAcentral's name for it is "guanylate cyclase 32E, transcript variant X1". Lineage: Eukaryota; Metazoa; Brachiopoda; Lingulata; Lingulida; Lingulidae. The record is from RNAcentral.
GAAUGAUAUAAACAUCACCAUGAUCAAGGAAUAUCACGGCCCAGUGAUGAGAGUUGACCCGGGGAGGUCGAAUCCACUAAAAACGGUGAUCUACGAAACAUAUCAGGACACCAGAAUCUUUGUGAUCCUGGGCGACCCCUUUGAAUACCACAUUUUCAUGAAUCUUUUACAAGAACAAGGGAUUCUAGAUUCCGGAGAGUAUUUCGUUGUUGGUGUUUAUAUUGACGAUUUCCAGAUUAAUGAUUCGCAAAAGUUUCUCAAAGAUAUCUACAAUGACAAAAACAAACCGGUUGACGAACAAACGAGGAAGGCAUUCCGAUCUUUUCUUGGAGUUAUCCAGUCCCCACCAGUGUAUCCAGACUAUAACAACUUCACCACAUUAGUGAACGAGUACGCGGAAAAACCUCCUUUCAACUUCGUCAAUAUUUUCAAGAACAGAGGAGUGACACUGAUCAUUCCGUCCGAGGCAGCCUAUUUAUAUGAUGCUGUGGGUCUGUACGCACGAGCGGCCCACCAGGCCUUAUUAAAAGGCCAGGAUAUCUCGGAUGGAGGAGUCAUCUUUGAGUAUAUAAAGGGAGCAACCUAUAAAAGUGCUAUGGGGUACAUGAACCGGAUUAAUGAGAACGGGGAAUGUGAGGGUAACUAUUCGGUCCUUGUUAUGAGACAAAGACCUCAAGCCCCAACCACGAUCUCGAACGCCAGCCAGGAAGUCCAAUGGGAAAUGUGGCCAGCUGGGAACUUUAUAAUGAACCAAAAUUCAUCUCUCAUUCCGACAAUGGAACUGUUCUCAAAUGACAGUAUUCUCUGGGUGUCAGGAAAGCCCCCAGUUGACGAACCAAAAUGCGGUUUCAGAGGAGAGAAGUGCAUCCCUCCGCCAUCAUAUACAUGGGAAAUCGUUUGCGGGAUUGCAGGCGGACUGCUUCUACUUAUCAUUAUAAUCAGCACGGUUGUGUAUAGAAACUGGCGCUACGAGCAAGAGUUGGCAAGCCUUCUCUGGAAGAUUGACUUUAAGGAUAUUAUGUUAAAGGACGGGGCUGCAUCCUUACACACGGGCUCCGGCGCCUGGAUGGGGAGCACGAUGAAUAAGAUGAGUGUGAGUAUGCGAGCCAGCAACCUGUCAAUAGGCAUUUACCCUGGAUUUGACGGUGACACUGAUAUACGACAAGUCUUUACCAAGAUAGGGACGUACAAGGGAAACAUUGUAGCCAUUAAGAAAGUUCGCAAAAAACAUAUCGAUCUCACAAGAAAUACUCGCAAGGAGCUAAAAGACAUACGUGAUAUUCGACAUGACAACAUGACGAUGUUCAUUGGCGCAUGCGUAGACCCGCCAAAUAUCUGCAUUAUCACGGAGUACUGCCCGAAAGGCAGCUUACAGGAUAUACUGGAGAACGAUGACGUGAAGUUAGACAAUAUGUUCAUCGCCUCACUCGUUAAUGACAUAAUCAAGGGCAUGGUUUAUUUACACGACUCUGAAAUACGUUACCAUGGAAACCUGAAAUCGUCUAACUGCGUUGUUGACAGCCGAUGGGUUUUGAAGAUCACGGAUUUCGGUUUACACGAGUUUAAAAACGGUGCUAAACACGACCUCGGAGAGCAUGCAAAGUACAGGAAUUUACUAUGGCGAUCUCCGGAGCUUCUACGCACGCGUAAUGUGUGGGGAACACAGAAAGGAGACGUGUAUUCUUUUGCCAUAAUAAUGUAUGAAGUACAUGGCAGAAACGGGCCGUUUGGAAAUUGUACACUGCCCCCAAAAUACAUAAUUCAUCGAGUAAUGCAACCGACAUCAGAUGGGAGCGUCCCCUUCCGUCCUAAACUGAGCGAGCUGGACACGACGCCAAAGUACAUCACGGAGACCAUCCAGUUGUGUUGGAGCGAGAAUCCAGAUGAGAGGCCCGAUUUUAAGAGUAUUCGUCAACAUCUGAAGCCUAUGCAACGUGGAAUGAAAUCUAACAUAUUUGACAACAUGAUUGCUAUUAUGGAGAAGUACGCCACUAACUUGGAGACCAUUGUUGAAGAGCGCACCGGACAACUGGUGGAGGAGAAAAAGAAAACAGAAGAAUUGCUUCAUCAGAUGCUUCCAAAAUCUGUUGCCGAGCAACUUAAACUUGGCAAGCAGGUGGAGGCUGAAGCCUUUGACAUGGUGACCAUAUACUUUAGCGACAUAUGUGACUUCACAGCUUUGUCCUCUCAGAGUACACCUAUGCAGGUUGUUAACCUGUUGAACGACCUUUACACCUUGUUUGACGGUAUCAUCGGCCACUAUGACGUGUACAAAGUGGAAACGAUAGGGGACGCCUACAUGGUGGUCAGCGGCCUUCCAAAGACAAACGGUAUAAACCACGCUGGGGAGAUCGCAUCUCUGUCGCUAGCGCUGCUGGACGCUAUUUUGAAGUUUCAGAUACGGCACCGCCCAGAUCAUACGCUCAUGCUAAGGAUAGGCAUACAUUCAGGUCCUUGUGUGGCAGGUGUGGUAGGGCAGAAGAUGCCGCGAUACUGUCUUUUUGGUGACACCGUCAACACGGCAUCUAGAAUGGAGUCCAAUGGGAUGCCUCUUCGUAUUCACUGUUCCGCCAGUACAAAGGAACUCUUGGAUCAACUUGGAGGAUAUUCCAUUCAGGAGAGAGGGCAGAUUGAUAUAAAGGGCAAAGGAAAGAUGCACACCUACUGGGUAGUUGACGAAGACAAAGGGAGGCGAGAGUCCAGAAUCUCGUCCUGUUCUGACGAGAGCUCACGCCAGAAAGGCAAAAUAUCCUCGGAUUCCUACGAAUCUCGUGACAGUAUAUUCACAAAUUCAACGGACACCACCCUGCUUUUACCAAUGCACGCUCGGGGCAGCUCCACGCCUGUCAGUAUGAUUUCUAAACCGAACGGAAAAUUAAAGCCGAAGAAAGUCGCCAUGGGAGGUACUUUGCCAGACGCUGCAACCAAGAGAAAAGUCUCUCUGCCUCCCAUUAAGGGUGUCCUUGCAGCUACACAUGUCUCACCACUGCAAAAAUUGAAGCCAAACAUCAAGCUGAAGCGCCCCACGCUUCACCAUAGAUCCCGUUCUGAUGAUAUAAUUGGUAUCAAUGAUCGGAAUGGGAUCAAUCGAUCUAAGGAUCCUGAUGAUGUGGAGUACGAGGAACCUAACAAAGCAGCUCGUUUGGAUGCAGAACCGCUGUUGGAGGUCCCUGAUUCGCCUGUGCAUAACCCGCUUUCUAAAAGUAUGGAGACCAUACUCUGAUAGGCUCACUUUAUCAUACUUUUUUUCCCCCUUGGCGGGUCGACUUUAUUUCCAUCGGGAUUUUCAGUCAGUGACAUAUAAGCAUGGAGAGGACCCCGUCCCCACCCUAAAACCUCCCAGCUGGAUUACUUUGUUGGGGGGUGGGGCGUUGGGGAAGGUUAAAUGUGCAAAGGUCUACUAUAUUCUUAAGCCACCAUUGUUUAAAAAAACACAUGCGUAUGGAAAGGUGGAAAUAUGUUAUAAUAUGCGGCUGUAUUUACACUGUGCUGUUCUGUUCAUCAUGGCAAUCAUAAAAACCUUUAUUUAGAGAACUCGACGAAUAUUAACUGUCGUUUAUGUACAUGUAUCAAUCUUAUGGCUAUCGUCUCUCCUGCAUCAGUUUUGUCACGCAAACUGCCUCAGUCCAUCUUGUUAAAAUUGACAGAUGAAAUGGUCUCUGCGGAGCCUAUUUUUCUGUCGUGAUCCUGUGCAAGAUCCUUCAAACUGACCUCGGGCAUUUGAACAAAGAGCAACGUUGCGGGUACUGAUACAGUGUACAUACAUCGAAACCGUAUAAAUUCACUACCUAAGACUUUGUGAAUUUCUGUUGAAAAUGAGUGAGGGGAAAGUAGUAAGGCAUAUAUUAACUUGACAUCUUGCAUGGAUAAAUUUGUAAUGUAUAACGAGAGUGUAUGAUAGUGAUUCAUUCGAUGUCGUUGUGUAUUAUUUUGAAGUAAUUCGAAAAAGCCUUUUUUCAUAAGAUCUAUUCUAUUGCCAACAACGUUUAUUGCUUCAUAGACAUUCACUGUCAUUUGCAGACAUUAUUUAACCAUGUUAUCUAUUGCUGUACCAAUAAGUUUGCGCAAUCGACUGUCUGGCAUGCUGUAGAAGGGAAGGACAACGCCAAUACAACACACAACUUGAAAUAAGGCGUGAUCACGAAUGGAACUUAGAACUCUGACCACAUAAUCACGGAUUGAAAAUCACGGUGUCAUUUGUCUCUCGCUUUGUCCAUCUGUUAAAAAUAUACAAAGCUUCUGCUAUCUGAAACUACAUGUUGCGCCCGAUGCUCUCAUCGUUUACUAAUAUCAGCCCAUGCUAAACGGAGGUCUUCAUUACCAUACCAGUUAGUGUAAAGUGUUCACAUUUGAUUAAGAUCAUGCUACAGCGAUUUGGGCCACCGCUCCUCGUUAGAUAUGAUAACGAGCUGAUAAGUGGUUCAAAGGAUCAAUCUCAAUAAAAGCUGUACGAAGUGAUACAGAUAAAGACUCCCAGUCGUAUUCAUGGUAUUGAUUUGUGGAAAUAACACAGUAUUUUACCUGUAAUGUUAUAUUCCAGAGGACCCCACCCACCACACGAAAAAUGAAAUAGUUCAUCCCGUCACAACUUCCCAAAUAAAUGAAGAAAAUAACCACUCAGCACCCCACAGAAUCAUACCACACGUUUCAAUUAUCCACAUUACUGAUACCCUAGAUCCGCCCUUGUGUUGCAUGUAUAACUGUUAAGGCUCAAUAUUAAAAGGGAUGUGCUAAACGAUUUAAUUGCGAAGAUAAUGACCUCGCUAUUAAUCUGUGAGCGAGAGUUGAUCAGUUAAUUGAGGAUGAGUUAACACCUCCUUCAUGUAGAUAGAACAGGGUGAGUAAUCGUUUGGCAUUGAUGUACACAGGGGUUUGCAAAUACGUCUAUGUUUUAAUAUAUACACGUGAAUAAGCGUUGCAUGUUUUGUAUAGUAUAGGACAUCUAUUAAUUAUAUUAAAUUUAUUGCUGUAAUAUAUGCUAAUAAGAGUAAAAUAAACAAGUCAACAAACAUAUAUCAA